RNAcentral lists this long non-coding RNA (358 nucleotides) under Ictidomys tridecemlineatus (thirteen-lined ground squirrel). RNAcentral describes it as "lncRNA (ENSSTOG00000029613.1)". The record is from RNAcentral. Lineage: Eukaryota; Metazoa; Chordata; Mammalia; Rodentia; Sciuridae.
CCCCGUAGAUGGAAAACCAAACUCAAAGGACAUGGUGUGGCUGAAUCAAGGGUCUGCGAGCUGCUUCUCCCUGGAGUGUUCUCCUGAGGCAGCCCCUGCAGGCCCCCAGGGUGGCUGUGGAGUCGGGGACCCUUCUCCUGCCUUAAUCGGAGCCACAGCACUGUUGCUGCUGCCCCUACAAAGCCUUUCUCGGAGAGGAACAAAUCUACCCAAGGAGACUGCUGAGAUCUUUUUCUUUGGAGAAUGUUUUUAGUCUUGAUUUGAAAACUUCAUAACAAAAAAAAAUUUUUAGUAUGUAACAUUUUGAUUUAGGAUAUGGCCGUGCCUCCCUGACCUCAUUGGAAAAUUUCAAAAAAUG